GGCGGCGGCCUACACAUGCAGUCGAGCGGUAGCACAGAGAGCUUGCUCUCGGGUGACGAGCGGCGGACGGGUGAGUAAUGUCUGGGAAACUGCCUGAUGGAGGGGGAUAACUACUGGAAACGGUAGCUAAUACCGCAUAACGUCGCAAGACCAAAGUGGGGGACCUUCGGGCCUCAUGCCAUCAGAUGUGCCCAGAUGGGAUUAGCUAGUAGGUGGGGUAACGGCUCACCUAGGCGACGAUCCCUAGCUGGUCUGAGAGGAUGACCAGCCACACUGGAACUGAGACACGGUCCAGACUCCUACGGGAGGCAGCAGUGGGGAAUAUUGCACAAUGGGCGCAAACCUGAUGCAGCCAUGCCGCGCGUGUGAAGAAGGCCUUCGGGUUGUAAAGCACUUUCUGCGGGGAAGAAGGCAUUAAAGUUAAUGACCUUGCCGACUGACAUUACCCCCAUAUGAAGCGCCGGCCCACUCCGUGCGGGUUUCCGCGGUAAUACGGAGGGUGCAAGCGUUGGGCGGAAUUACUGGGCGUGGUGCACACGCAUGAAUUUCUGUCGGAGUCCGAUGUCAAAUCCUCGGGCUCAACCUGGGAACUGCUUUCGAAACUGGAACGCUAGAUUCUUGUAAAGGGGGGUAAAAUUCCCAGUGUAGCGGUGAUAUGCUCAGAGAAUCUGGAGAAAUACCGGUGGCGAAUGCGCGCCCCCUGCGACAAUGACUGACGCUCAGGUGCGAAAGCGUGCGGAGCAAACACGAUUACAUACUCUGGUAGUCCACGCCCAGAAACAUGUCGAAUUUGGACGUUGUGCCCUUGAGGCGUGGCUUCUGGAGCUAACGCGUUAAAUCGACCGCCUGGGGAGUACGGCCGCCAGGUUAAAUCUCAAUGGAAAUUUGAACGGGG
RNAcentral lists this ribosomal RNA (895 nucleotides) under Klebsiella pneumoniae. RNAcentral describes it as "bacterial SSU rRNA". It matches the Rfam family "Bacterial small subunit ribosomal RNA", at positions 38 to 919 of the family's 1533-position model. Lineage: Bacteria; Pseudomonadati; Pseudomonadota; Gammaproteobacteria; Enterobacterales; Enterobacteriaceae. The record is from RNAcentral.